CUACCCUGUAGCCAGUUACCCUGUAACCUACUACACCUGUAGCGCCUACCCUGUAGCCAGUUACCCUGUAACCUACUACACCUGUAGUGCCUACCCUGUAGCCAGUUACCCUGUAACCUACUACACCUGUAGCGCCUGCCGAUGGACCAUUAAACUCUUGUUAUUUUUAAGUAAUCUGAGCGUCUUAUUUUAAUAAGUCAAAACUUUCAACAACGGAUCUCUUGGUUCUGGCAUCGAUGAAGAACGCAGCGAAAUGCGAUAAGUAAUGUGAAUUGCAGAAUUCAGUGAAUCAUCGAAUCUUUGAACGCACAUUGCGCCCAUUAGUAUUCUAGUGGGCAUGCCUGUUCGAGCGUCAUUUCAACCCUUAAGCCUAGCUUAGUAUUGGGAAUCGACUGUAUUGUCGUUCCUCAAAUUCAACGGCGGAUUUAUAGCAAUCUCUGAACGUAGUAAUCUUUAUCUCGUUUUUGAAAUACUGUAAACCUCAGCCGCUAAACCCCCUAAUUUUAAUGGUUGACCUCGGAUCAGGUAGGAAUACCCGCUGAACUUAAGCAUAUCAAUAA
Molecule: ribosomal RNA, 560 nt
Filed under: Sordariomycetes sp.
Lineage: Eukaryota; Fungi; Ascomycota; Sordariomycetes
Description: eukaryotic LSU rRNA
Rfam family: 5.8S ribosomal RNA (bases 202-355)
Source: RNAcentral